This 1060-nucleotide long non-coding RNA is filed under the name Nicotiana benthamiana. RNAcentral describes it as "long non-coding RNA (NBEN_LNC020113)". Lineage: Eukaryota; Viridiplantae; Streptophyta; Magnoliopsida; Solanales; Solanaceae. The record is from RNAcentral.
CCCUGGAACUUCUGCUGUUCCAUUCCCAAACCUGCAGCAACCAUUGGCAUCGCCGAAAUCCGGUGAGCCUGCAGCUACCAUCGAACUGGACGGCGACUCACACCCACUCACACAUAGUCAUUCCUCACCUCUCAACACACCCAUCAAUAGCCUCAUCUCCACCAUGAAUCCAUCCCCAAAUCAACUAUGAAUCAUCCAUACAUCUGGCGUCAACACCACCAUGAAACCCCGGUAAAUAAAGCUCAUGGAGUUGCAGAAUUUCCUUCACAAAAUCACCUCAAAACAUCAACCGAAGCAACAUGAGUUAGCCCAAAAAGACUCCAAAAUCAUGGGCUACUACCAGGGAGUUCGUUGGGUCCGUUUUCUGUUUAGUUUGAAUUUUCCGGCGAGUUUCGAUUGUGAUUUGGAGUCGAGAAAAGCAGAACAAUAUUUCGGGGACGUCGUUUGUCGUUCUGAGUUCGUCGAGGUUAGAAGGUUCCCAUUCUUCGCCCUCAGUUUCAUUUCGUGUAUUAUAUUAUUGUUCAAUGUUAAGAUUUAUGUGAAUUCUUGUUUCUUGUGAUAUUUUAAGGAGGAAUCUCUACUCUUAAUUGAAAUUGUUUUUUGUUCAUUUGAGCUAAUUCACCAACCCGUUGGAUGCAAAAAUUUAGAUAGAACUAUUAUAUUCAUUUGUUGGUGUCUAUGUACAAAACAUAUAUUAGUUAUUAAAAGAGAGUGUUCGGUCAUUUGUGCUUAUAACUUUUCCCUUUUUCUUAUGAACUGGAGGAUCGAGAUUGGUACUAACUUUUAAUGGAAUUCGUUGUGGCGUAGAAUGUUAUCUGCUUGAUCUUGGCAUACUGUUGUUAAUUUCAGGUUUUAAUUUUUCACAUUCAUCUGUACUUUGUAUCCUAAUAAGGCAUCUUUAAUUGGAACAUGGCUGAUGCUUGGGAUUAGAGUGGUGCUCGGUUGACUGGAAAAAGUGAACGAUGUUUUUUUGGUUUUUUUGGUACUACAUUUGUAUAUACAGAUAACUUGAAUGAAUAUUGUCGCCUAUGUAAAAUAAGUAAUUGCGUAAGCGUUUGUG